RNAcentral lists this unclassified non-coding RNA (262 nucleotides) under uncultured fungus. RNAcentral's name for it is "sequence contains ITS2". The record is from RNAcentral. Lineage: Eukaryota; Fungi.
AAUUCCUCAAGGCCCAUCUCAAUCAUGAUUGAUUGAGGCAUGUGUCUUGGAUUUGGAGGAUUGUUUGCAGGUCAUGGGGGUUUCUGUGAUCUGCUCCUCUUCAAUAUCGCAGCAAAGGCUCUCGCGACGGGCCUUUCCCCUUGGUGUUUGUAGUUUUCACCCUACGCCGUGGGUUGUCCGUCGCCCCUUGUCCUCCUCGUUCUUGAGGUGUGAGAGGGCCUGGCUUCUAAUGGUCUGUGAUGAAUGGACAACUGCUCAACCA